This is a long non-coding RNA of Silurus meridionalis, 680 nucleotides long. RefSeq lists it as uncharacterized. The transcript has 6 exons. NCBI's taxonomy places the organism in Eukaryota, Metazoa, Chordata, Actinopteri, Siluriformes, Siluridae. The record is from RefSeq and is a predicted model, not a curated record.
GUACCAGUGUAGAUUUAUUAAUUGCUAGAGACUCAAAGCACUUUUGUACGUCGCUCUGGAUAAGGGCGGGUGCUAAAUGCCGCAAAUGUAAAUAAAAGCAUUGCAUAUUAGUUUGUAUACAUAAAUCUAUCCUGCCUGUGAUAAAGAAAAAUGUAUGAGUAGUGGACAGAAGUGGUUUCUGAGAACUUAAAUCUGAGGCAUUGAAAUCAUUUACUAAUUUAUUCUAUUAACAUAGACAUGAAAACUGAAUCUGGUCCUUUUUCUUAUAGUGCUGGGAAAUUUGCACGCUCUUCUUGUGCACAGUUUGUGAUAUGGCCAAGUGAAGCACACACAGCGCAUCUUCAUGGUAGAUGGAGGAGACCUUGUCUAUGGUUGGCUUGACUACGGGUGGCUGUUUUGAAUGGAGUAUACUCAUUGACAGGUGAAGAUGUCUGCAUCCUGUAUCAAGACGCACGAGGCUCAACAGAUUGACAUGCAGUUUGAUGGGUAACUUUCAAAUGUGAUGCUGAGGUAAGUAAUGUUUGUGUUUGUAAAUUGGUGUUCUGCAGCCUGUGAUGAAGAGAUUCUGCCAAAUGUUUCUGCUAAUUAUAACCCUUUCCAUUACAUUCAUUUCUGAGGUUGCCUUCUGGUUAUGUCCUAUUUGUGCUGGUCAGGUAAACGUUCCUAAUGAUUGCUUUCUU